This 72-nucleotide microRNA precursor is filed under the name Schistosoma margrebowiei. RNAcentral describes it as "mir-3492 microRNA precursor family". It matches the Rfam family "mir-3492 microRNA precursor family". Lineage: Eukaryota; Metazoa; Platyhelminthes; Trematoda; Strigeidida; Schistosomatidae. The record is from Rfam by way of RNAcentral.
AGCUAGUCGUGCUGAGAUUUUGUCACACACCAGACCACAAGGGCUGAUGAGACUUCCAAUAUAAGUGAAGCG